ACGAUCAUUGAUGCCUCACCAAUUAGGUAGGAGUCCAAGGUGGAUCGAGAGAGGAUCACUAUAUAUGAGAAGGAUCUUGCUUCCAUUCAUUGACGGCGAAGGCCUUGGAGAAAACAACAGAUAACCCAAAGUCUGUGGUGACGGUGAAGGCAACCAUGCAAUAGACCAUAAGAAAGAAGCCAUCAAACAAUUCUACCAA
RNAcentral lists this long non-coding RNA (199 nucleotides) under Elaeis guineensis (African oil palm). RNAcentral describes it as "long non-coding RNA (EGUI_LNC034181)". Lineage: Eukaryota; Viridiplantae; Streptophyta; Magnoliopsida; Arecales; Arecaceae. The record is from RNAcentral.